Molecule: ribosomal RNA, 330 nt
Filed under: uncultured Chloroflexota bacterium
Lineage: Bacteria; Bacillati; Chloroflexota
Description: bacterial SSU rRNA
Rfam family: Bacterial small subunit ribosomal RNA
Source: RNAcentral
GAUGAACGCUGGCGGCGUGCUUAAUACAUGCAAGUCGAACGAAGAGCUUUUGUAGCAAUACGAGAGCUUCUUAGUGGCGAACGGGUGCGUAACGCGUUGGUGACCUGCCCCGAAGUGUGGGAUAACAGUUCGAAAGGAUUGCUAAUACCGCAUGUGGUCGUUGGAUUUAGAAACCGAUGACUAAAGCAGUAAUGCGCUUUGGGAGGGACCUGCGUCCCAUCAGCUAGUUGGUGAGGUAACGGCCCACCAAGGCUACGACGGGUAGGGGGCCUGAGAGGGUGGCCCCCCACAAUGGAACUGAAACACGGUCCAUACACCUACGGGUGGCAG